Molecule: RNA transcript, 3792 nt
Organism: Bombus terrestris (buff-tailed bumblebee)
Lineage: Eukaryota; Metazoa; Arthropoda; Insecta; Hymenoptera; Apidae
Gene name: paramyosin, long form
Exons: 16
Source: RefSeq, a predicted model, not a curated record
GAGCCGCCGGCGCGCCAUACGAACGACGACGGGUCGCGCACUACGAGUAGGGCGCUGGUCGGCUCCGAAACCCCGAAGAAGAAGAAGAACAGAAUAAGAAAGAAGACGAAGAACAAGCCGAACAAGAAGCGGCGAGGAGGAAGAAAAGUGGUAGCAAAAUUAUAUUACGACGAUUAUAUUUUUGUUUGAAAGAAAUUAAACGACUGUAACAGCCGACGCAUCGACGUAAGAGGCUGCUUUUAGGCGAGAAAAGACCGAGGAAGAAACGAAUCUCUCGGCUCCAUACGGGGACAAAUUAUCUUGGUGAAAAUAGCGAGUGAAUUUAGCGAACAGGAUGUCUUCAGCGGUCGCUAAAGCUUCCAAGUACACGUACCGCUCCACCGGCGGUGGUACUGCCGAUGUCAGCAUCGAAUACAGCGCCGACCUGAGCGCUCUCUCCAGACUGGAGGACAAAAUCCGCCUGCUGCAGGAUGACCUGGAGUCUGAGAGAGAGCUGCGUCAGAGGAUUGAACGCGAGCGCGCUGAUUUGAGCGUGCAAGUCAUCCAGCUGUCCGAACGUCUCGAAGAGGCAGAGGGUGGCGCCGAAUCUCAAUUCGAGAUUAACAAAAAGAGGGACACGGAACUGGCCAAGCUGCGCAAACUACUCGAAGAUGUUCAUCUCGAGAGCGAGGAAACCGCGCAUCUUCUGCGCAAGAAACACCAGGAAGUUGUUGUCGACUUCCAAGAUCAAAUCGACCAACUUUCGAAAGCACGCGCCAGAGCUGACAAGGAAAAAUCGAAAUUCCAACAAGAGGUAUACGAACUCCUCGCCCAGCUGGACAAUGUGACGAAAGAAAAAUUGAUGUCAAUAAAAACUGUGGAGAAACUCGAAGUGCAUGUAGCCGAGCUUAACGUGAAAAUUGAAGAAUUGAAUCGUACCGUCAUCGACAUCACCAACCACAAAACCAGGAUCUCACAGGAAAAUAUCGAAUUGACGAAGGAAGUGCAGGACUUGAAGGUUAACAUCGAGAACGCUGUUUACCUGAAGACUCAGCUGGCGGGUCAGCUCGAAGAUGCUCGCCGUCGUCUCGAGGAUGAGGAUCGUCGUCGUUCAUUGGUCGAGGCCUCCUUACAUCAGGUUGAAUCGGAAUUGGAAUCCGUUCGCAUUCAAUUGGAAGAGGAAUCGGAAGCUCGUUUGGACAUCGAACGUCAAUUGGUCAAAGCAAACGGCGAAGUGCAAGUUUGGAGAUCGAAGUAUGAAACCGAAGCUAACGCUCGUGCCGAAGAGGUAGAGGAACUACGUCGUAAAUACGGAGCUCGCAUUCAGGAACAGGAAGAGCAGAUUGAAACUCUGCUCGUCAAGAUCAACAACCUCGAGAAGCAGAAAUCCCGCCUGCAAUCUGAAGUAGAAGUGCUGAUCAUCGACUUGGAAAAGGCCAAUGGAACAGCUCGCGAACUGCAAAAACGCGUGGAACACUUGGAGAAGAUCAAUAUCGAACUCAAGGCUCGCUUGGAUGAAAGCGUGGCAAUGUAUGAACAAAGCCAACGUGAUCUCCGCAACAAACAACAAGAACUCCAGCGCACCAACGCCGAACUCGACAAGACUCGCGAGCUGAAAGACCAACUGGCUCGUGAAAACAAGAAAUUGGGAGAUGACUUGAACGACGCCAAGAACCAGCUGUCUGAUAUGAACCGCAGACUUCACGAACUGGAACUCGAACUCCGUCGGUUGGAGAACGAGCGUGAGGAACUCGCUGCCGCCUACAAAGAAGCCGAAGCAGGACGCAAGAUCGAAGAACAGCGCGCUCAAAGACUGUCUGCUGAGUUGACCCAACUUCGUCACGAUUACGAACGUCGCCUGACUGAGAAGGAUGAAGAAAUCGAAAUCAUCCGCAAACAGACCAGUAUCGAGAUCGAGCAGCUGAAUGCCCGCGUGGUUGAGGCGGAGACGAAGUUGAAGUCCGAGGUGCAGCGCGUGAAGAAGAAGAUGCAGAUCCAGAUUACCGAACUGGAACUGUCUCUGGACGUUGCCAACAAGAACAACAUCGACUUACAGAAGACCAUCAAGAAGCAAUCGCUCACUUUGACCGAACUCCAAGCCCACUACGACGAAGUUCAACGUCAACUACAGGUAACCCUAGACCAACUGGGUAUCAGUCAACGACGCCUGCAAUCGUUGACAGCUGAGCUAGAGGAAGUACGCGGCAAUUACGAAUCUGCCCUCCGCUCAAAGAGAACCGUCGAGCAGCAAUACGAGGAGUCGGUUAGUCGCAUCAACGAAUUGACUACCAUAAAUGUGAACAUCGCUUCGUCGAAAGCGAAACUCGAGCAGGAACUGGCUACCCUGGCCGGAGACUACGAAGAAGUGACGAAGGAGCUGAGAGUGAGCGACGAGCGAUACCAACGGGUACAGACCGAACUGAAGCACACCGUGGAGAUCCUGCACGAGGAACAAGAACGUAUCGUUAAGAUCGAGGCCAUCAAGAAGUCCCUUGAAAUUGAAGUGAAGAACCUGUCCGUGAGAUUGGAGGAAGUCGAGGCGAACGCUAUCGUCGGUGGCAAGCGUAUCAUCAGCAAACUCGAGGCUAGGAUCCGCGACUUAGAGCUGGAACUUGACGAAGAGAAGCGCAGACAUGCCGAGACUGUGAAGAUUCUCCGCAAGAAGGAACGCAACAUCAAGGAGGUGAUGAUUCAGGUAGAGGAGGACGCGAAGAACAUUGCGUUGUUACAAGAAUCGUUGGACAAGGCGAGCCAGAAAGUGAACAUCUACAAGAGACAACUGCAAGAACAGGAAGGCAUGUCCCAGCAGAGCGUGACCAGGGUCCGCCGAUUCCAAAGGGAAUUGGAGGCUGCUGAAGAUCGUGCUGAUACCGCUGAGAGCAACUUGACUCUGAUCCGCGCAAAACACCGCAGCUUCGUCACCACCUCCAGCGUGCCCGGUUCUCAGGUGUACCUCGUCCAGGAGACGAGGUCUGACCUGUAAAAACGCCAUCGCCAUCGACACCCCAUCCUUUGCCACUUCGAACGCCACCUCGUCGUCUUUAGAAACGUGUCACGAGCAAACGACGAAGAAAAGGAAGAGCCUCGAUACGUCAUCGUUAGUUGAAAGAGCCGAGAAGAGUUUCCAACGGGCCGUACCGCGAACAUCGUAAGGAAGAAGCAACGAGGAAAAGAAACAGUAUCGAAAUGUCGUGUCAUCUUAUUUAAUUGUAUUAUGACAACGCCCAACGACCCGUCGCAAAUUCAAAAUACUUGGCCAACGAAACGCGGUACCCGUCGUAACGAACCAAAUAAAUGCAAAAACCGAAAAGGCAUAAGCAUUAAUGAACAAGCAACGUGAAGGAAGCAACCAUCUUAAAACGCAUAACACCGUCGCUAUUCGAUUAAAUGGAUUAAUCAACCCAAAAAAUGAAAAUAUAUACACAUACAUACAUAUUAUACAAUAUUAUACACGCAAAAAAAUCAACAACGAUUCGUUAUAUCUUCCUUGUAUCCGUUAUGUCAGCAUCACGAAGCGUAAGGAGUGGAAAUAUUAUAAAUAUAUAAAUAAAUAAAUAAAUAAGGAAAAAAGUAAAAGAAAUUAAAUGAAAAACGCGAGACGUAGAUUUAACUUUCUUUCUCUCUCUCUCUCUCUCUCUCCUUACGCCUCUUUGAUCGCGCGUGUCGCACUUGUAUUUAAAUGGAUUAACUUUAAUUCUACUUCUACUAUUAUAUUAUAGAUAGGUAUUAUUGCCCAUACACACAACUCUCACUGUACGACAUACACGAUAACCUGUGUCAAACAAUAAUUUAAUAAAUAAACUGAAACACGUA